This 239-nucleotide ribosomal RNA is filed under the name Phyllobacterium sp. Its description in RNAcentral is "partial 16S ribosomal RNA". It matches the Rfam family "Bacterial small subunit ribosomal RNA", at positions 60 to 323 of the family's 1533-position model. The record is from RNAcentral. Lineage: Bacteria; Pseudomonadati; Pseudomonadota; Alphaproteobacteria; Hyphomicrobiales; Phyllobacteriaceae.
CNUGCAGUCGAACGCAUCGCANGAUGAGUGGCANNACGGGUGAGUAACGCGUGGGAAUCUACCCAAUUCUUCGGAACAACUGAGGGAAACUUCAGCUAAUACCGGAUGUGCCCUUCGGGGGAAAGAUUUAUCGGAAUUGGAUGAGCCCGCGUUGGAUUAGCUAGUUGGUGGGGUAAAGGCCUACCNGGNCGACGAUCCAUAGCUGGUCUGAGAGGAUGACCAGCCNNNCUGGGACUGAG